Molecule: long non-coding RNA, 247 nt
Organism: Thalassophryne amazonica
Lineage: Eukaryota; Metazoa; Chordata; Actinopteri; Batrachoidiformes; Batrachoididae
Exons: 3
Source: RefSeq, a predicted model, not a curated record
AACGGUUCGACCGCAGGAACACUGUUUACGGACACCGACCGAUGACCAACGGGAGGCAGGAUGGCCACAACUCGGCUUUGUUAGAAGCGACGGCUGAAUCCAGUUCCAUAAGCGAGGGGGGUUUGAACACCAGCUUCAACUUCUGUAUCAACGUCCAGCACCACACAGCAACGUGUCAUCACAGGCAAGAGAAAAGGGAGCCUGUUCCAGCAAGCGAAUCUCAACAUCUUGAGUGAUGUUGAGGCUG